This is an RNA transcript of Anguilla rostrata (American eel), 1776 nucleotides long. It is a transcript of the gene named aldolase a, fructose-bisphosphate, a, with no coding region annotated. Lineage: Eukaryota; Metazoa; Chordata; Actinopteri; Anguilliformes; Anguillidae. The transcript has 7 exons. The record is from RefSeq and is a predicted model, not a curated record.
ACCGAACUCAAGCACCUGCCCCCUUUUCUGUCCAGUAGUCAUUUACAGAAACGCGAAUUCCACCCACACUAUCAGCUCUUAUAAAACUCCAUCUUACGCUUUCUCGUCUUCCACUUGAGGUACGGUUGGACUUCUCUACGCAGACGAAUUGACUGAGCCAGAAUGCCACACGCUUACCCUUUCUUGACUCCUGAGCAGAAGAAGGAGCUCAGUGACAUUGCUCAGAGGAUUGUUGCUCCCGGCAAGGGCAUCCUCGCUGCGGACGAGUCCACAGGCAGCGUUGCUAAGCGCUUCCAGAGCAUCAAUGCGGAGAACACCGAGGAGAACAGGAGGCUGUACAGGCAGCUGCUGUUCACCGCCGACGACCGCGUCAAGCCCUGCAUCGGAGGCGUGAUCUUCUUCCACGAGACCCUCUACCAGAAGGCCGACGAUGGCAAGCUCUUCCCCCAGCUGAUCAAGGAGAAAGGCAUGGUGGUCGGCAUCAAGGUCGAUAAGGGUGUUGUCCCCCUGGCCGGCACCAACGGCGAGACCACCACCCAGGGUCUUGACGGACUGUACGAGCGCUGUGCUCAGUACAAGAAGGAUGGCGCCGACUUUGCCAAGUGGCGCUGCGUGCUGAAGAUCACCCCCACCACCCCCUCCCGCCUGGCCAUCAUUGAGAACGCCAACGUCCUGGCCAGAUAUGCCAGCAUCUGCCAGAUGCAUGGCAUCGUGCCCAUCGUGGAGCCCGAGAUUCUGCCUGACGGCGACCACGACCUGAAGCGCUGCCAGUACGUGACCGAGAAGGUCCUGGCCGCCGUCUACAAGGCCCUGUCCGACCACCACGUCUACCUGGAGGGGACCCUGCUCAAGCCCAACAUGGUCACCGCCGGACACUCCUGCUCCCACAAGUACACUCCCCAGGAGGUCGCCAUGGCUACUGUUACCGCCCUGCGUCGUACAGUGCCCCCUGCAGUUCCCGGAGUCACCUUCCUGUCUGGUGGCCAGAGUGAGGAGGAGGCCUCCAUCCACCUGAACGCCAUCAACCAGUGUCCUCUGCACAGGCCAUGGGCCCUCACCUUCUCCUACGGCCGCGCCCUGCAGGCAUCUGCCCUCAAGGCCUGGGGAGGCAAGAAGGAGAACGGCAAGGCCUGCCAGGAGGAGUACAUCAAGAGAGCCCUGGUACGUAGCCUAGCCUACCGUAGCCUAUCCUAGCGUAGCUGCUCGGGCAUAGCACAGUCAGACAAGGCCUGCCAGGAGGAGUACAUCAAGAGAGCCCUGAACAACAGCCAGGCUGCCCUGGGCAAAUACGUGUCCGCCGGGGACAAGGGCGCCGCCGCCGGGGAGUCCCUCUUCGUGGCCAACCACGCCUAUUAGACGCCGACGCUUUUCUGCGCACCGCCCCCCCUCACCCCCCACACCCCAAGGAAGUGGAACCGCCAGGGCUCCCGUAACGUUCACUCUGCUAAGACUCCUCCCACCUCCCAUUCUGUACUAGUGAUGCCAUUUCGAUGUCUAGCGAGGGAGAGAGAAGCACGUCCCACAAACAUGGCCGUUUGCUUUCCGACUCUGGUGCGGGAGAUGGAAGAUCCAGAAAUCAUCCGCCCCCAUUCCUGUCUCUGCUCCACCCCCCCCCCUGUCUCCAAGCACCUCUAAGGUGUGAGGAUUCCAUUUCCUUUGUGAUGUAAUUACAUGAUUCCACACAUGAGCCUUUUCUUGCCUCUAACAGCUAAGGCAAGAAGAUAUUGAGCAUAUUGUAAACACUGGAAAUAGAGAAAUAAAUUAUCUUAUCCACCA